Molecule: ribosomal RNA, 492 nt
Filed under: uncultured bacterium
Lineage: Bacteria
Description: partial 16S ribosomal RNA
Rfam family: Bacterial small subunit ribosomal RNA
Source: RNAcentral
AGUGAACGCUGGCGGUAGGCCUAACACAUGCAAGUCGAACGGCAGCACAGUAAGAGCUUGCUCUUACGGGUGGCGAGUGGCGGACGGGUGAGGAAUACAUCGGAAUCUACUUUUUCGUGGGGGUUAACGUAGGGAAACUUACGCUAAUACCGCAUACGACCUACGGGUGAAAGCAGGGGAUCUUCGGACCUUGCGCGAUUGAAUGAGCCGAUGUCGGAUUAGCUAGUUGGCGGGGUAAAGGCCCACGAAGGCGACGAUCCGUAGCUGGUCUGAGAGGAUGAUCAGCCACACUGGAACUGAAACACGGUCCAGACUCCUACGGGAGGCAGCAGUGGGGAAUAUUGGACAAUGGGCGCAAGCCUGAUCCAGCCAUACCGCGUGUGUGAAGAAGGCCUUCGGGUUGUAAAGCCCUUUUGUUGGGAAAGAAAAGCAGCAGGUUAAUACCCCGCUGUUCUGACGGUACCCGAAGAAUAAGCACCGGCUAACUUCGUG